This 216-nucleotide ribosomal RNA is filed under the name Glomeromycotina sp. RNAcentral's name for it is "partial small subunit ribosomal RNA". The stretch from base 40 to 216 matches the Rfam family "Eukaryotic small subunit ribosomal RNA", at positions 686 to 864 of the family's 1831-position model. The record is from RNAcentral. Lineage: Eukaryota; Fungi; Glomeromycota.
GGGUCAGUAGGUUGGUCGUGCCACCGGUACGUACUGGUCUCACUGAUUCCUCCUUCCUGAAGAACCGUAAUGCCAUUAAUUUGGUGUUGCGGGGAAACAGGACUGUUACUUUGAAAAAAUUAGAGUGUUUAAAGCAAGCUAACGCUUGAAUACAUUAGCAUGUAAUAAUGAAAUAGGACGAUCGAUCCUAUUUUGUUGGUUUCUAUGAUUGACGUA